CCCACUAAAAAGCCUUAAAACUAAAAACUCUAGCUAGCUAGUAUGUACUUAAGCCCCCCCCCCGUCUUUGUAUCGAAACAAGUACUACUCCUCCUAGAUUAAUUGUUUCGUUUCAGAUCGAGUUGGAGACACAGACACAGAGCGAAGAUAUAGAGGACUAAGAGGAGAGGGUCUCUCUCUGUCUCAGGCAUAAUAUAUAUUGAGAUUAUUUAUGGCCCGCCCGCCCAGUUGAAGCCAAUAAUUCGCCAUGCGCGCUCUCACCCACAAAUCUUGCUUUUCACCCCCACCCAAGAGAGGCUUAACAACAAAGGUGAAAGGUAGUUGAUGUGCAUGGGACAUCUUGCCAAGUUGAAGAUGAUAUUGGACCACUACAUAUGACAAUGAAGUGUACAUGUAAGGUGGGGGAAAAAGGACAAUAUAAUUGUGAGGUGGAGAAACGCUGGACAGCAAAUUGCACGGUUUCCCCAUAACGAGGCUGAGAAGCUAGGGUCGUCAUCUGAAGAUGAUGAAGACUGAUCUCCCAUUCGAGAGUUGAUUGUUCUUCCAACCACUAAUACCGGCAUUAUUGGAACCCGAACAAUUUUGGUCGAUUCAAUGAUGGUUGAUCGAGCAGGCUGGAUACAUUUUUUAAUGCCAUAAGUUCAUACACAUUUUAAUUACAUGUAGGAUUCCUUGAUACCAUUUUUAUGCCUUUGUUAUAUCUCCAAAUAAAUCCAAAUUAAAAACCCUAUUCCCAUUUCUCUC
Long non-coding RNA from Alnus glutinosa, 744 nucleotides. RefSeq lists it as uncharacterized. The transcript has 3 exons. NCBI's taxonomy places the organism in Eukaryota, Viridiplantae, Streptophyta, Magnoliopsida, Fagales, Betulaceae. The record is from RefSeq and is a predicted model, not a curated record.